AAACUAAAAACUAAAUUUUGAAAACUCAAAAAGAAGCAUUUAAUUUUUCAUUUUUUAGUGAACCCUGAACUCUAAACCUAAAUCUAAACUAAUCUAAUUCUUCUCAAGUGGCCCUAAACUAAUAAAAAAGAAGCUUUCAUUUUUCAUUGAGAAUUGUACCUUAUGCCCCCAAUGGCAUCGAUGAGCCCAAAAAUGAUAUUGGAAGCUCGAGAUUUUUGGGGUUUAUUGCCAAUUGGACAACCACUAAAAUAUCUCAUUCGUUACAUUAUCUUCCAUGUGAACCACAAAUACAGUUGAAAGUAAGGUGUUACCAACAGAACCUGUUGCAACGUGUAUAUACUCCUCCAUGCUUGGGAUGCAUUGUUUGCAGAACCAUCUAGCCUCAUCAAAGUAGGCUUGGGCAGUAGCUUUCCACUGUAUGUGACAAUGACAUGUGUGAAAACUUAAACUUUGAUAGUUAAACUAGUCCUAAAGAAAGUAAAGUUCAAAUAUAAUUAAAUUGCCUUUUUUCUUUCUCUCCUUCCGUGAGAGACCUUAUCUCCUCUGCAAGAGUUUUCUUCCCCUUUUGGUGAGGGUCUUCAUCUUGCCCACCUUCUCAGGCGCUGACUCUGGCUUUGGCUGGAGUCAGUUGCCUCUUUUCCUUUUCUUCUUCUGUUUUCUUAUUUUCUCCCAUUCUUUGUUGUGUUCUUCUCUUUUCCUUUUCUUCUUCUGUUUUAUUCUUCUGAUGCUUCUCCCUAUUUUUCCUUCAGGCCUGUCUUCUUCUUCAUCUUCCGUUGGUAUUCCUUUCCCCAUCCCUUCCUCAGUCCGAUCUUCAACCGUUCCUUUUGAGUUCGUGUGUAGAGUUGGGGUGUUGGUCCUGGCUCGGGUGUUUCCCACACCAUCAUGUUCUCCUUAUUGUCUGUUUUUUUUGGCAGUGUUACUCGUGAGUUUCCCCGAGCUUUUUCCCAGUAGCUGGCUAAUCCCUCUUUGGUACCAACUAUCACCUGUUAGUGCUGUGAUCUGAUUGCUGUUCAGGGUUGGCGGUGGUGUCUAAGAUGACGUUACUCAAUGGUGUAUAACGUUUCCUGUGGCUGGCCUGGAUCUUUGUCGGUGGAGGAGUUUUCAGCAGAAGCUUCUCGAUUGGCUCUUGGGUGUUUUUUUGGGUUUCACUGUUGUGGGGCCUCCUUUUUUCUGUGGUGACUGCUUAUGAGGUUAGGGAUAAGCCCUCAACGUUGAAGGCAGAGGAUUAGGACUGGGUUGUGGUGGUUUUCGUCUUGUUGAGAUUUAUUAUGGGGUUUUUCAUGCGAUUCGAAGAUGAUAAUGUGGAGUCAACAAAGAUUGUGAACCCGUGGAAUGUGAAGAUCAUCUUAGUUGGUUGGUAGAAUUUAUUUGAUUUAAUGUGCUACCCGUAAAAGUUCCACUGAAUUAUGCUUGUAGGAAAAAACAAAUUAAUUGUCUUAAUUUGCUACUACGAUGGAAAAAAAAUUGUUCCCUUUAAUUUAUGCUUGUAGGAAAAUCAGAAUGAUUCAACGUUAAUGGUUUGUUAGACCCUUGGAACCAUUAUGCACACAAGUAGUUAAUUAGUUACCCCUUCCUUUGUGCUUUAAUUAUCUUGAUUUGUAUCGCUACAAUGAAAUAGGAUUGUUGUUAUUUACCUGUAAGAAUUUCACUGUAUUUAAUACGUAUAUUUACCAAAAUAAAAAGUACACGGGAUGGGGGGAAUUGCUCGUGAAUUUCUGA
Pyrus x bretschneideri (Chinese white pear) is the source of this 1719-nucleotide long non-coding RNA. RefSeq lists it as uncharacterized. The record is from RefSeq and is a predicted model, not a curated record. The transcript is spliced from 3 exons. Lineage: Eukaryota; Viridiplantae; Streptophyta; Magnoliopsida; Rosales; Rosaceae.